RNAcentral lists this ribosomal RNA (460 nucleotides) under uncultured bacterium. RNAcentral describes it as "partial 16S ribosomal RNA". It matches the Rfam family "Bacterial small subunit ribosomal RNA", at positions 338 to 795 of the family's 1533-position model. The record is from RNAcentral.
CCUACGGGGGGCAGCAGUGAGGAAUAUUGGUCAAUGGCCGUAAGGCUGAACCAGCCAAGUAGCGUGAAGGAAGACGGAUCUAUGGUUUGUAAACUUCUUUUAUAGGGGAAUAAAGGUAUCCACGUGUGGAGAUUUGCAUGUACCCUAUGAAUAAGCAUCGGCUAACUCCGUGCCAGCAGCCGCGGUAAUACGGAGGAUGCGAGCGUUAUCCGGAUUUAUUGGGUUUAAAGGGUGCGUAGGGUGUUUUUUAAGUAAGCGGUGAAAGUCUGUGGCUCAACCAUAAAAUUGCCGUGGAAACUGGAAGACUUGAGUGUGUUGAACGUAGGCGGAAUGCGUGGUGUAGCGGUGAAAUGCUUAGUUAUCACGCAGAACUCCGAUUGCGAAGGCAGCUUACUAAGCCAUAACUGACACUGAAGCACGAAAGCGUGGGGAUCAAACAGGAUUAGAUACCCUUGUAGUC